RNAcentral lists this small RNA (1975 nucleotides) under Pongo abelii (Sumatran orangutan). Its description in RNAcentral is "processed transcript". The record is from RNAcentral. Lineage: Eukaryota; Metazoa; Chordata; Mammalia; Primates; Hominidae.
CUCCUGCUGGACCUUCCUCCGUCUCUCCAUCUCUCCCUCCUUUCCCCGCGUUCUCUUUCCACCUUUCUCUUCUUCCCACCUUAGACCUCCCUUCCUGCCCUCCUUUCCUGCCCACCGCUGCUUCCUGACCCUUCUCCGACCCCGCUCUAGCAGCAGACCUCCUGGGGUCUGUGGGUUGAUCUGUGGCCCCUGUGCCUCAGUGUCCUUUUCGUCUCCCUUCCUCCCGACUCCGCUCCCGGACCAGCGGCCUGAGCCUGGGGAAAGAAAGGAUGGUUCCCGAGGUGAGGGUCCUCUCCUCCUUGCUAGGACUCGCGCUGCUCUGGUUCCCCCUGGACUCCCACGCUCGAGCCCGCCCAGACAUGUUCUGCCUUUUCCAUGGGAAGAGAUACUCCCCCGGCGAGAGCUGGCACCCCUACUUGGAGCCACAAGGCCUGAUGUACUGCCUGCGCUGUACUUGCUCAGAGAGCGCCCAUGUGAGUUGUUACCGCCUCCACUGUCCGCCUGUCCACUGCCCCCAGCCUGUGACGGAGCCACAGCAAUGCUGUCCCAGGUGUGUGGAACCUCACACUCCCUCUGGACUCCGGGCCCCACCAAAGUCCUGCCAGCACAACGGGACCAUGUACCAACACGGAGAGAUCUUCAGUGCCCAUGAACUGUUCCCCUCCCGCCUGCCCAACCAGUGUGUCCUCUGCAGCUGCACCGAGGGCCAGAUCUACUGCGGCCUCACAACCUGCCCCGAACCAGGCUGCCCCGCACCCCUCCCGCUGCCAGACUCCUGCUGCCAAGCCUGCAAAGAUGAGGCAAGUGAGCAAUCGGCUGAAGAGGACAGUGUGCAGUCGCUCCAUGGGGUGAAACAUCCUCAGGAUCCGUGUUCCAGUGAUGCUGGGAGAAAGAGAGGCCCGGGCACCCCAGCCCCCACCGGCCUCAGCGCCCCUCUGAGCUUCAUCCCUCGCCACUUCCGACCCAAGGGAGCAGGCAGCACGACCGUCAAGAUCGUCCUGAAGGAGAAACAUAAGAAAGCCUGUGUGCAUGGCGGGAAGACAUAUUCCCACGGGGAGGUGUGGCACCCGGCCUUUCGUGCCUUCGGCCCCUUGCCCUGCAUCCUAUGCACCUGUGAGGAUGGCCGCCAGGACUGCCAGCGUGUGACCUGUCCCACUGAGUACCCUUGCCGUCACCCCGAGAAAGUGGCUGGGAAGUGCUGCAAGAUUUGCCCAGAGGACAAGGCAGACCCUGGCCACAGUGAGAUCAGUUCUACCAGGUGUCCCAAGGCACCGGGCCGGGUCCUCGUCCACACUUCGGUAUCCCCAAGCCCAGACAACCUGCGUCGGUUUGCCCUGGAACACGAGGCCUCAGACCUGGUGGAGAUCUACCUCUGGAAGCUGGUAAAAGGAGGAAUGGACGAAGAAAGUGGAGCUGUUCAGCCUGGAGAAGAGAAGACUCAGGGGGACAGGACUGCUGGCUUCGUGGUUCUGAAGGGCUGUCCCAGGCAGAGGGAGCAGCUGUGUUCUGAGUGACCGCAAGAGUCAAACAACAAGCAGGGGCUUUGGGUUCGAAUCCCAACUCUGCCAGUUUGAAUCCAGACUCUGCUAUAUCUUAGCUGUGUGGCCUUGGGCAGUCACAUGAUCUCUCUGGGCCUCAGUUUUCUCUUCUGUAAAGUGGGGAAGAGGGUUUUUGGAGGAUUAAAUGACAUGACAUCAGUGCAGCCCCUGACAUACACCAGGCACUAAAAAUGUCAGUCUUCUCAUUCCACCACAUCAGGUUGGUGAGAAAUGCAGAGAGGCAGCUUUCAGCUCCAAGAGAAGAAGAACUUUCUCACACUUAGAGGCUUCUGCCAGUGGAAGGGAGGGAGCAAGCUCCACUUACGAGAAGCGUGCAAGCAGAGGCUGAUGGGGAUUCCGUCUGCAGCUGGGGAGUUAGAUUCAGUAACCCUUAAAAUUUUUUGAGCCUUAAGAUUCCAUCAGUCCCGGCUGGGCCU